Molecule: unclassified non-coding RNA, 496 nt
Filed under: uncultured Glomus
Lineage: Eukaryota; Fungi; Glomeromycota; Glomeromycetes; Glomerales; Glomeraceae
Description: bacterial SSU rRNA
Rfam family: Eukaryotic small subunit ribosomal RNA
Source: RNAcentral
CCAAUAGCGUAUAUUAAAGUUGCUGCAGUUAAAAAGCUCGUAGUUGAAUUUCGGGACCAAUAUGUCGGUCGUGCUUCGGUACGUACUGUCAUUAUUGGUUUCUCCCUUCUGAAGAACCUUGAUGUCAUUAAUUUGGUGUCUUGGGGAAUCAGGACUGUUACUUUGAAAAAAUUAGAGUGUUUAAAGCAGGCUCGCGCUUGAAUACAUUAGCAUGGAAUAAUGAAAUAGGACGUUUGAUUCUAUUUUGUUGGUUUCUAGGAUCGACGUAAUGAUUAAUAGGGAUAGUUGGGGGCAUUAGUAUUCAAUUGUCAGAGGUGAAAUUCUUGGAUGUAUUGAAGACUAACUUCUGCGAAAGCAUUUGCCAAGGAUGUUUUCAUUAAUCAAGAACGAAAGUUAGGGGAUCGAAGACGAUCAGAUACCGUCGUAGUCUUAACCAUAAACGAUGCCAACCAGCGAUUAGCCUGAGUUCCUUAAAUGACUCGGCUAGCAGCUUCCG